This 510-nucleotide ribosomal RNA is filed under the name Triticum aestivum (bread wheat). RNAcentral's name for it is "partial small subunit ribosomal RNA". The record is from RNAcentral. Lineage: Eukaryota; Viridiplantae; Streptophyta; Magnoliopsida; Poales; Poaceae.
AUGGUUUUUCCUACGAUCAACAUACCCCCUCCAAUGCACUGUGUUCAAAUUUGCACUUUUCCUGGCUCAUUAACUAUAUUUACUCCAUUGUGUGCAUUUUUAGGCAUUAAUGCGCACAAUUUAAAUUCAGACAAUUGGUGCAUGAAGAAGUGCACAAAAAUGGUCUGGAAAACCCUACUCAUGGUAUUUAGUAAAUUUUCAUGCCUUUUACGAAGAAUGGCCAGAAAUUUCAAGCAUACAUGUGGCAAGAGUCAACCACAAACGUGUCGGUUAUUGGUUUUCAACAAUAGAAAAAUGACAAACAUGCUAGAAAUAGAUGACGCCUCGCAUGGUGAUGAAGACAUCAAUACCAUUGUUACACCCACAACCCCUGCUACUAUACAUACUGGACCGAUUACAAGAGCUCACGCACGCCAAUUAAAUUACCAGGUACUUUUGUUUCUUGGUAAUGAUUCUAAUGUUCAUCAGAAUAUGAUGCUGCCUAAAUUGGAUAUGUUUGUUUUGCUUUAA